AAAUUACUAAAUAAAUUUCUCAAUAGAGUUCGAAAGAUUUGAUAAAGAUACAUAAUAAGUAGGGUUAAUUUCACACAGUUCUUCACAAACAUAGUGAAUUGCAAAUAUAUUCCUACAAAGUUCAACUUUUAUAUGUUGUCUCUGCAAAAGUUCUGAUGUUUUCAAAUAUGUCCUUGUCAUUAGGAUCCUUAGAAAAAAUAAGUUAACCAUAGAUAAAAUAUUUAACAUUAGUUAGUUAAUGAGGUGAAUUGACCUUUUUACCCCUCUUCAAUUAAUAGUUGAGACUUUUGGAGGGACAUAUUUGUUAGGGUAAAAAGGUUAUUUCACUUAUAAAAUAAACAGUGCUUUAACGGUAACAAACCAGAUAGACAUAUUUGAAAAUAUUAGGACUUUUAUAAGAACAAUAUAUAAAAGUUGAACUUUGUAGGGAUACAUUUACAAUUAACUAUAUUUGCAGGGACCAAUAUGAAAUUAAUCCUAAUAAGUAAUUAGAAUAUUUUGUUAGUAAAGAAAAUAAAUAUUUUACAUUAUUAUAUAUGUUGGUUCACAUAUAUUUAUUAUGAUCGGCACGCACCACAUCGUAUCGUGUCGGUAAAUUUUUUGCAUAACUCCGUAUCGCGAUAUUUAAAUUCUUGAUUUUGAAUAUCUCAUUUUACUUAUAAACUAAAAUUGGAAUGUGAAUCCAACAGAAAAAAAUAACUAUAGUUGGGUUAUAAAAUGUGGCCAAACACACCCUAAAACGAGAACUAUUUACCUAUCUAGCUUCUUUACAAAAAAAUAUUCCCUAUCUAGCCUCCUUUUGAAAAAAAUUCCCUAUCUAGCCUCAUCUUCAAAGAUUAGAGAAAAAAAGAGAAAUUAAUUCCUUUAAUAUAUAUUAAGGGGUUAAGUGGGGGAAAUUAUCUUUUUCUCUCUCCUCUCCCAUUAAUUUUUAUAUCAAAAUAAUCUUGAUCCCAUUCGGCCUAUAAAUUUUAUGUUUUAAUGUAUUAAAACCUAAAGUACGAGAAAUCCAAAUAGUUUUGGAUCAGGAUUAUUAUAAUCAAUUCCUUCCGAACCAUGUAUAAUAUUUUCAUCAAAAUAUUAAAAGAUUGAUGCGCUAUAUAAAAAUUUUCUAUUUUGAAAUAAAUCGAUAUGAGAUAAAUUAUACGCAAAAAUUAGAGAGUGAGAAGGAAUCUCGGGACAUAGGAGAGGAAAGAGAAAAAGAUAAUCUCCCCCACUUAACCCCUUAAUAUAUAUUAAAAGUAUUAAUUUUUCUUUUUUUCUCUAAUUUUUGAAAAUGAGGCUAGAUGGGAAAUAUUUUUCAAAAGAAGGCUAGAUAGGAAAUAUUUUUUUGUAAAGAGACUAGAUAGGUAAAUAGUUCCUAAAACG
RNAcentral lists this long non-coding RNA (1365 nucleotides) under Ananas comosus (pineapple). RNAcentral describes it as "long non-coding RNA (ACOM_LNC026324)". Lineage: Eukaryota; Viridiplantae; Streptophyta; Magnoliopsida; Poales; Bromeliaceae. The record is from RNAcentral.